This 410-nucleotide ribosomal RNA is filed under the name Proteus mirabilis. RNAcentral describes it as "bacterial SSU rRNA". It matches the Rfam family "Bacterial small subunit ribosomal RNA", at positions 1133 to 1533 of the family's 1533-position model. Lineage: Bacteria; Pseudomonadati; Pseudomonadota; Gammaproteobacteria; Enterobacterales; Morganellaceae. The record is from RNAcentral.
GGGAACUCAAAGGAGACUGCCGGUGAUAAACCGGAGGAAGGUGGGGAUGACGUCAAGUCAUCAUGGCCCUUACGAGUAGGGCUACACACGUGCUACAAUGGCAGAUACAAAGAGAAGCGACCUCGCGAGAGCAAGCGGAACUCAUAAAGUCUGUCGUAGUCCGGAUUGGAGUCUGCAACUCGACUCCAUGAAGUCGGAAUCGCUAGUAAUCGUAGAUCAGAAUGCUACGGUGAAUACGUUCCCGGGCCUUGUACACACCGCCCGUCACACCAUGGGAGUGGGUUGCAAAAGAAGUAGGUAGCUUAACCUUCGGGAGGGCGCUUACCACUUUGUGAUUCAUGACUGGGGUGAAGUCGUAACAAGGUAACCGUAGGGGAACCUGCGGUUGGAUCACCUCCUUACCUAAGAGA